Molecule: long non-coding RNA, 2538 nt
Filed under: Setaria italica (foxtail millet)
Lineage: Eukaryota; Viridiplantae; Streptophyta; Magnoliopsida; Poales; Poaceae
Description: long non-coding RNA (SITA_LNC007177)
Source: RNAcentral
UCUAAUUGUUGCGAGCUAGCAACUGAUGGUUGCUUGUGUCAAAGAAAUGAUGGCUAUUACUGGAAAUGGCCGGGCGGGGUGUGCCUGACUGAUAAGGUAAAAAGGUAGUGUUUGUGUGUUAAGAUUACUAGUACUAAUUUGGGAAGAUAGGCAGCGUGCGUGCUAGCUAAGUGUUUCGUCUUCCCUUAGCUAAGUGUUACUUCCACACAGUCCGUGCCGAUCGACUCUCUUGUUUAUUUGACUGAUUGAUGACAUGCAUGGUUUCAUGCCUCUUUCUGGUGUAAAGUCGUUCGUUCCAGAGGAGACAAGGAAUAUGUUGCAUAGUCGUAGUAGGUUGUACUAAACCACUCGACGGACCGCCCGUUAUUAGAAAUUCAUCAAUGUUUAUUUACGUGAUGACAGCAAUUAGCAAAAACAGCCCAGCCCGUCUCCAACUUGAACCCAGUCUCAAAAUAAUAAUCCCGCUAGGCCGCUACAUUAUUGGGCCAGGCGUAGUAGCACUUUUGCGAGUAGCCCAAAGUCUCCGCGUGACUUUGGGCCCAGUUUACUGGGUCGAUGGGAAUAUUAAACUUAGGCCUAGGCACAAAUUUACGGUUUUCCUAAACAUCUAUCGGGUGAUUUUUCUUCCUUCAUUUCACUCGGGAUACCUAUGGCUGGGAUUCCGUCAAGAUUCGUGCAGUUUAUUUUGUUAACAGGCCGAUGUGUGUUGUUAUUUUUGUUGGCCCAACAGCUUCGUGGUGUGUGCUUUGUUUUCCACUUUUCUUUGUAGAGCUCGCCGUACGCCCGUACCUCCGAUGGCGGGCGCGCGACGAUGAGCGAUGGCGUACGGCGGUGACGAGGGACGGUGCGAGGGCGGCGAUUUUGAUGGACUGCAGUGCCGGUGACGGUCAGAGCGUUUUAUCCCGGUCACCUCGUUCUACUCUUCUUUUCCGUCCUAUCAAUCUAUUUCUUGAGUCAGGAGCAGUGUGCGUGCUCCUCGUGGAUUCUGCAGUUGUGGUGGUCAGGAGCAGACUUUGCGAUUGCCGGUCCGGGCGCUGGGGGUGUUGAACAACAAGGCCCGCCUGCUGAUGGCAGGUGGUGGUAAGGUGAGCAAAAUCAUUUCGGGGGGCGUUUAGUUCGUCGAAUAUUUAGGUACUAACUAUUAUUAAACGUAGACUAUUUACAAAACUCAUUACAUAAGUGGAGGCUAAACGGCGAGACGAAUCUAUUAAGCCUAAUUAAUUCAUCAUUAGCAAAUGUUUACUGUAGUAACACAUUGUCAAAUCAUGGACUAACUAGGCUUAAUAGAUUCGUCUCGCUGUUUAGUCUCCACUUAUGUAGUGGGUUUUGUAAAUAGUCUACGUUUAAUACUUCUAAUUAGUAUCUAAAUAUUCGAUAUGACGGGUGCUAAAAAUAACCAGGAGAAAUCAAACCAGACCUUCCUUUUCCUAAGGUCGUAUGGUGACCUGGGCCAUGAAUGACCCUACUAACAAUAGGAAUGUCACGUAUCUCAACUAGGCGUUGUAUUAGGUUCCGGGUAUUCAUUAGCAGUGCGUGUGGUUUUAAGUUAUCCUUUUUUGGUACCAGGAGUGUGUGUUCUUUAGCAGUUAUCACUUUUGUUUAAGACUUUUUUAAUCAAUUUUAAUGAAUAUGUUUUUGGAGUAUAUUUCUAAUUUUCUUGUAGGCAUAUUAUAUAUUUUUCUUUUGAUUUCACUCAAAUUCAGUUUUUUGUUUGUUGUCAGCCUAUCUAUAAAUCCAUAGCGUCAGGUUGACUAGUAAGUAUAUAGUUAUGUUUCUACGCAAGUGCCGAAUCCGAUCACCAUAUGCAAUAUAAAAAGCUAGCUAGCAUGUUUCGCAAAGCAUGUUUCAAGUAUGGUUGUUGCCACGUACCUCACUAAUGCUACUUUUUUACUAGUAGUGCUGAGAUUCUAUGAGUUGCGGGCUUUUAUUUUUAUACAAGUAACUUACAUUAUUGUUUGAGCAAUAGGCAUGCAACAAAAAUUAUAGGGUUUUACAACUUUAGAUGGUAUGCUGAAUCACGAAUUAAAUCUCACUGAAGCAUGUGUGAUGAACUAAAUCUCACUAAACUCUUCUAAGCAUAUCUCAACAGUGUUUCUUUUGGAGUUGUUUAAGGCAAAAAUGGCUUUGAAUGUAGUAGUGCUUUGCAACUAUUUGGCUAUUUUAGCUAUUUUUUCUUUUCUUUUGGAAUGUACAGAACAAUUGAUUUUUUAGGGACUGCUGACCAAUUGUGUUCAUGUUCAUAUAGUUGUCUAUUAAAAGGAAGAAUUGCAUGGGGUGUGAUUUGUCUAUUAACACUAUUUGAUUUUUUAGGGCAAAUUUACACUUGAGCAUGUGCAUUUGGCGGACGCAUGCAUAAGAUGGAGCCUCGGCAAAGAUCAAGUAAGGUGCUCUCUCUUGCCACGUUAUGACUAUAAAUUAAAGGGAUGGUUUGAAUGGGCGGCUGAACAUGGUCUUCUCUGUGACAUUCUUCAGAGCCCGGGCAUACGGCCAGGGUCACCGGGCCCUGGGUUCCACCCCUGAGCAUGUGGGUAGCCCCCC